GACUGGGGUCUGAUUCAUUGGCUGAGUGUGGCUACCUGGCUCCAGGAGGAGCCUCUGUCUCAGUCCUGUAAUAGUCAUCAUGCUUUAAGAAACCUUCACAUUUCUGAACAGUUACAUAGUGUCCUCAGCUGAAGAAAGAGGAAGUCUGGAGUCCAUUCCGGCAGUUAGCAGGGAGCUGUUUUCUUCUCUCUGACAUUAGCAAGGCUGAAGAAGAUGGUAUGAGAAAAAAAAUGAAAAUCAUCUCUACUUGAAAGACAGGGAGUCUGAAGCAGAGUGGAAUAUCCAUGUGGGAAAGACUCGUCGGAAUGGGAAUCCUGCUUCCAAGAAAGGUAGAGCACUGCAUGAUGGAGUCUCACCCUGUCACCCUGUCGCCAGGCUGGAGUGCAGUGGCACAAUCUCGGCUAACUGCAGCCUCCGCCUCCUGGAUUCAAGCAAUUCUCCUGCCUCAGCCUCCUGAGUAGCUGGGAUUACAGGAAUAAACAACUCCAGAGAAGUUAAUAUGCACCUGCUCAUGAAUGACUAGAAAAUAGUGUGAAUUUCAGCUUGACGGCUGCAGAAACUUGGUGCUGGGGAAG
This is a long non-coding RNA of Pongo pygmaeus (Bornean orangutan), 575 nucleotides long. RefSeq lists it as uncharacterized. The transcript is spliced from 4 exons. Lineage: Eukaryota; Metazoa; Chordata; Mammalia; Primates; Hominidae. The record is from RefSeq and is a predicted model, not a curated record.